Molecule: unclassified non-coding RNA, 501 nt
Filed under: Leishmania donovani
Lineage: Eukaryota; Euglenozoa; Kinetoplastea; Trypanosomatida; Trypanosomatidae
Description: gene:unknown
Source: RNAcentral
UCUUUUUUUUUCUGGACCACCCUCACUCCAUUCAAAAGCAAUAUGCUUCCGUCUUUGUUGUUGCUCAACUGCGGCUGCCACACACAUACGAGUGGCACAUGUCUUCUUUUUGUUUUAUUCAACGCAUCCACUCUCUGCCACACAACAUGAAUGAAAGCCCACCCUACCCCCGGCCCAUCUCGUGCCAGCGGAGCAGCGGUAGGCGCGCGCGACAGUAAUGCACCGACUCGGCCUGGAACUCUACCUACUGCGGCCGCCUCGCAGGUUGCCCCAGAGCCGCUCCUCCCAGCAUGCUGGUCGAUACCGAUGGUGUAUCUCUCUCUGGGGCGGCUGAGGCCUCCCACACCAGUUGGCAGUGUGAGCGCGGGGGCGGGGGUAACAGGUACGUUCGAGUUGCGCGGACACACUCUGCCUAAUCCUAUGGAUGGCGCACGCGUGUUCGCUGUCGCGGGCCGCUUGGAUACAAUGCCAUCCAGGCCCUGACUGCGGCCGAUAGCUCUG